AGUCGAGCGAACAGACGAGGAGCUUGCUCCUCUGACGUUAGCGGCGGACGGGUGAGUAACACGUGGAUAACCUACCUAUAAGACUGGGAUAACUUCGGGAAACCGGAGCUAAUACCGGAUAAUAUAUUGAACCGCAUGGUUCAAUAGUGAAAGACGGUUUUGCUGUCACUUAUAGAUGGAUCCGCGCCGCAUUAGCUAGUUGGUAAGGUAACGGCUUACCAAGGCAACGAUGCGUAGCCGACCUGAGAGGGUGAUCGGCCACACUGGAACUGAGACAUGGUCCAGACUCCUACGGGAGGCAGCAGUAGGGAAUCUUCCGCAAUGGGCGAAAGCCUGACGGAGCAACGCCGCGUGAGUGAUGAAGGUCUUCGGAUCGUAAAACUCUGUUAUUAGGGAAGAACAAAUGUGUAAGUAACUAUGCACGUCUUGACGGUACCUAAUCAGAAAGCCACGGCUAACUACGUGCCAGCAGCUGCGGUAAUACGUAGGUGGCAAGCGUUAUCCGGAAUUAUUGGGCGUAAAGCGCGCGUAGGCGGUUUUUUAAGUCUGAUGUGAAAGCCCACGGCUCAACCGUGGAGGGUCAUUGGAAACUGGAAAACUUGAGUGCAGAAGAGGAAAGUGGAAUUCCAUGUGUAGCGGUGAAAUGCGCAGAGAUAUGGAGGAACACCAGUGGCGAAGGCGACUUUCUGGUUCUGUAACUGACGCUGAUGUGCGAAAG
Molecule: ribosomal RNA, 718 nt
Filed under: uncultured Staphylococcus sp.
Lineage: Bacteria; Bacillati; Bacillota; Bacilli; Caryophanales; Staphylococcaceae
Description: bacterial SSU rRNA
Rfam family: Bacterial small subunit ribosomal RNA
Source: RNAcentral